UCCCUGGUGGCUCAGACGGUAAAGUGUCUGUCUAAAAUGCAGAAGACCCGGGUUCAAUCCCUGGGUAGGGAA
Molecule: non-coding RNA, 72 nt
Organism: Bubalus bubalis (water buffalo)
Lineage: Eukaryota; Metazoa; Chordata; Mammalia; Artiodactyla; Bovidae
Source: the annotation of a RefSeq genome assembly